UUCGGCAGUGUUUCCAAUUCCUGCAAAACAUGUUUUGAUGGAGGGGAAAAAGGGAACAACAUUCGGAUAUUAACAUGAACAGAUAUCGACUGCUGAUUCUUUUGACAGGGGUGUUUGCUGACAGCAUUGCACCAAAAAAGGAUGGUAGAUAUAAAACCAGAAAAGAAGGAGAGUCUGUGACACUGAGCUGCACAUUUACCCUCAGCAAUACUGCGAUUUUACUUUACUGGUACAUGCAGUAUCCAAACAGAGAACCUCAGUUUUUACUGUAUAAAGGUGAUCGAUCGUCUGAGGACGAGAUUGUAACAGACAGUCGUUAUAAAUCAACUGUCUCCCCUACGUCCACAUCACUCACCAUUAACUCUUUGAAUCUGUCAGAUUCAGCCCUGUAUUACUGUGCUCUUAAAAAAAGGACCACGGUGACACAAAGUCCACAGGCGCUUUACAAAAACACAAACACGAUUAGAGUGGCAGUUAUCAACCACAAAUAUGUGUCUGAAACCACAAGACAACAGGAUGCGGUCACACCUGCUGAGGAGGGAAAAACACAGUAA
Danio aesculapii is the source of this 554-nucleotide non-coding RNA. The record is from the annotation of a RefSeq genome assembly. NCBI's taxonomy places the organism in Eukaryota, Metazoa, Chordata, Actinopteri, Cypriniformes, Danionidae.